Molecule: ribosomal RNA, 257 nt
Filed under: uncultured Staphylococcus sp.
Lineage: Bacteria; Bacillati; Bacillota; Bacilli; Caryophanales; Staphylococcaceae
Description: partial 16S ribosomal RNA
Rfam family: Bacterial small subunit ribosomal RNA
Source: RNAcentral
GGUGAGUAACACGUGGGUAACCUACCUAUAAGACUGGGAUAACUUCGGGAAACCGGAGCUAAUACCGGAUAAUAUUUCGAACCGCAUGGUUCGAUAGUGAAAGAUGGUUUUGCUAUCACUUAUAGAUGGACCUGCGCCGUAUUAGCUAGUUGGUAAGGUAACGGCUUACCAAGGCGACGAUACGUAGCCGACCUGAGAGGGUGAUCGGCCACACUGGAACUGAGACACGGUCCAGACUCCUACGGGAGGCAGCAGCC